AAAACUAAAAACUAAAAGUCAACAAAAGGGGCUAAGGGGUUAGGCUACUAUGCUACCUACCCUAAAAAGCUAAGAAAGGUCAUAAAUGCUCUACAUUAUUACUUGUAAUCUUAUCGUAAAAUUUGUACAAUAAAUGGGUCCAAAUAUCUUGUCUUUCGUUGAUUCCGUUGAUGUUGUCGUAUCUGCUCCAUUAUUGCUCCUUAUCUUAUC
Molecule: long non-coding RNA, 210 nt
Filed under: Capsicum annuum
Lineage: Eukaryota; Viridiplantae; Streptophyta; Magnoliopsida; Solanales; Solanaceae
Description: long non-coding RNA (CANN_LNC020357)
Source: RNAcentral